GGAGUUAGCCGGUGCUUCUUCUGUGAGUGAUGUCCUUCCUGCCGGCUAUUAACCCGCAGGCCUUCUUCCUCACUGAAAGUGCUUUACAACCCGAAGGCCUUAUUCACACACGCGGCAUGGCUGGAUCAGGGUUGCCCCCAUUGUCCAAUAUUCCCCACUGCUGCCUCCCGUAGGAGUCUGGGCCGUGUCUCAGUCCCAGUGUGGCUGAUCAUCCUCUCAGACCAGCUACGGAUCGUCGCCUUGGUGAGCCGUUACCUCACCAACCAGCUAAUCCGACAUAGGCUCAUCCGAUAGCGCGAGGCCCGAAGGUCCCCCGCUUUCCCCCGUAGGGCGUAUGCGGUAUUAGCCUGGGUUUCCCCAGGUUAUCCCCCACUACCGGGCAGAUUCCUAUGCAUUACUCACCCGUCCGCCGCUCGCCACCAGGGAGCAAGCUCCCCGUGCUGCCGCUCGACUUGCAUGUGUUAGGCCUGCCGCCAGCGUUCAAUCUGAGCCAGNGACACACUNACACGUGCGGCGGCGUCGACGACGGCGACUAG
This 536-nucleotide ribosomal RNA is filed under the name uncultured bacterium. Its description in RNAcentral is "partial 16S ribosomal RNA". The record is from RNAcentral.